RNAcentral lists this long non-coding RNA (2519 nucleotides) under Lynx pardinus (Iberian lynx). The record is from RNAcentral. Lineage: Eukaryota; Metazoa; Chordata; Mammalia; Carnivora; Felidae.
AGAAACCCAACCAGGACAAAGAAAACAUAGACCUGUCCUUAAAGCACUGCUUUUUAUCAUUUUCUGUGGAAUCACUAACCAAAGGUUUAGUAACAGUAGGAAAAUUGAUAAACAGAGUAGUCAGGAGUAUUUUUUUGUAAGUUUAUUAUCAAGACAGAGAGAGAAAUAGAGCGAGUCAGGAAAGGGCAGAGGGGGAGAGAGAAUCCCAAGCAGGUUCCACACUGUCAGCACAGAGCCUGAUGCAGGCCUUGGUCCCACGAACCCUGAGAUCGUGACCUGAACCAAGAAUCGAGGCUGAACUGACUGAGCCACCCAGCUGCCCCAGGUCGGGAAGUUUUUUGUUUUUUGUUUUUGUUUUUGUUUUUUCUUUUUACAGUAGUUUGGUGAAGAGUUAAUGUUGCUUCACUGAGUAUAUUGUUUUAUUUAAACUAACUUUUUUAUUUAAAAUUUUUUUUGUGAGCAUCAAGAGAGGUUUAAACUGAAAAAAUCCCCAGGAAGCAAAUAUUUACAUUUAGGUGGUCUUUGAACGUCUGCUGUCCUUUCUGAAGGUCAGAGGAACUGACACGCUUCCUAUCUAUUGGGUUGUAUAGUUUUAUAGGGCAGGAGCAUUCAGGAGCCGCCAGGCAGGCCAGCUCUUUUAGGACCUCAUUCCUCCUGUAACUCAGCACAGCACCAGAGUUGUCUACACUUUUCCAAGACAGCAGAAAAUGAACAAAUCCCAGGUAAGUUGUUCAUUCCCCACUUUAUUUUGCGAUGGACUUGGUGAAUCCCAUUGUAAUGGGAAAUUAGCAAUAGAUAGAAAUCUACCUUUACAGAAAAUAGAGAGUAACAGAUCAAUAGCAAGACUAAGGUGGCUUGUAGAUACAUACUGAUCAUUCUAUAUUUUAGAGCUUCUAAACUGACCUACAAAUAACAUCUCUGUUGUUUCUGAUAACCAUGGAGAAAGGAGGACACAGUCUUUUGGAUACAGACAGAAUUUUUUCAAGACACAAAGACUUCUUGGAUGAUAUCUUUCUUGGUUUUAACAUAGGGACACAUAGUGAAUAUCCUUCCUGUGACAGCCCCGAAAUGAAUGCCUAAAACUGUUCCUCACUGAGAGUAAAAGGGUCUGAGAGAGAGUUCAAGUAGUUAAUUUAAUGAUGGUCAUGUUCGAUCCUGGUGUAAAACCCGAUAUGUUCAGAGGAAUGAAUGGUCUACAUGCCUGUUAACAAAAACUCUCCAUAACUACUUUAGCCAGGUUGUGUAUGCGAGUUUUAUAGCAGAUGGUUCAAAGUUAAAUUCUCUGGUAAAUGUGUCUGAGCUUCUCAAAUUCAUCCUAUAGAUUUCUGUCUUGGUUUUUCCCUUCCACUUUUUUGGGGUUUGUCCAGGUAAAAUUGCCAAUGAUUUAAUUGUAAUUGCCUUCCUUCAAGAACUGCUCCAUUACUCUUCUGACAGUCUCUCCUGGGGAGUCUUCUUUGUCUCUUCUGUAGCCUUCCUCAUUGUACCCCAUCAUUCAGUUCCAAGUUUGUAUCCUUUGUCUACUAGUCAUAACGUUUAUCUCUACAUGUAUGCUGGAAAAAUAAUACUGUUUACUAUUUUGAGCACUUCUAAAAAUAUGUAAAUUAUCUUAAUGUUUAUAUGACAGGCAUUUUCUCCCCUUAGUACACUAGUAAUUUGAGAUCUAUCCAUAGGAAGUUUAUUUAUUUACUUUUUUAAGUAAAUAGUUUUUUAAAAAUUUUAUUAGAGUUUGUGAGUGGGGGAGAGGGGCAGAAGGAGAGAGAGAAAGGAGACAGAGGGAGAGAGAGAGAGAAUGAGAAUAUCUUUUUUUUUUUUUUUAAGUUUUUUAACGCUUAUUCAUUUUUGAGACACAGAGAGAGACAGAGAGCAUGAGCAGGAAAGGGGCAGAGAGAGAGGGAGACACAGAAUCCGAAGCAGGCUCCAGGCACUGAGCUGUCAGCACAGAGCCCGACGCGGGGCUUGAACUCACAAACCGUGAGAUCAUGACCUGAGCCGAAGUGGUACGCUCAACCAACUGAGCCACCCAGGUGCCCCAAGAAUGAGAAUAUCUUGAGAGAGAGAAUAUCUUAAUCAGGUUCCACACUUAGGGUGGAUCUUGACCCAGAGCUGACUCUCACAAUCAUAAGAUCAUGACCUGAGCUGAAAUCAAGAGUCCGAUGCUUCACCACCUAGGCACCCCUGUAGUUUGUUUCUUUUAAUGUUGGAUUUUCCUGCUAUCUGGACACAGUAUAUCCUAAAUACUGUAUUUCAUUGGUAGAUAUUCAGGUAAUUCCAUUUUUCAUUGAUAUAAAUACUGCUGUGAAUAUCCUUGUCAUUCUCUAUGGUAAAUGCAGAUGUAUCUCCAGACCCUGGAGCAUUGCUUCUCAGAGUGAGGACCUUUGCCCAGAAAUGGCAGCGUCACCUCGAAACUUGUUUGACAUGCAGAUUGUGAUCCACCAUCCCAAACCUACUGGAAGAGAACUUUUGGAGGCCAGGCCCAGUAAUCUGUGUUUUUAACAAGAUGUCCGUGUGAUGGUGUUAAG